GGCCGACGUCAUCGUCUCUUGUUGUGGUUGGGGGCGUUGGUGAAAGCAAACUUGUCCGUGAGGGUAAGGUGGUCCUUCCAGUGAAGAAUCAUCAGGGUCGAGGACGAGGGGGUUGACGGCAGCUUCAUCAUCAUCUCUUGUAGUGAUUGGGGGCAUCGGCGAAAGCAAACUUCAACCGGUAGGCCUCGGCCAGCAGCACACUGACUUCUUCGUUGCCCCAGUGCAUGGUG
This is a long non-coding RNA of Hippocampus zosterae (dwarf seahorse), 230 nucleotides long. RefSeq lists it as uncharacterized. The transcript has 2 exons. NCBI's taxonomy places the organism in Eukaryota, Metazoa, Chordata, Actinopteri, Syngnathiformes, Syngnathidae. The record is from RefSeq and is a predicted model, not a curated record.